GGAGGAUUAGCUCAGCUGGGAGAGCAUCUGCCUUACAAGCAGAGGGCCGGCGGUUCGAUCCCGUCAUCCUCCACCA
This 76-nucleotide transfer RNA is filed under the name Bacillus sonorensis. RNAcentral's name for it is "tRNA-Val". It matches the Rfam family "tRNA". Rfam says of the family: Transfer RNA (tRNA) molecules are approximately 80 nucleotides in length. Their secondary structure includes four short double-helical elements and three loops (D, anti-codon, and T loops). Lineage: Bacteria; Bacillati; Bacillota; Bacilli; Caryophanales; Bacillaceae. The record is from RNAcentral.